Molecule: ribosomal RNA, 253 nt
Filed under: uncultured bacterium
Lineage: Bacteria
Description: partial 16S ribosomal RNA
Rfam family: Bacterial small subunit ribosomal RNA
Source: RNAcentral
UACGUAGGUGGCAAGCGUUGUCCGGAUUUAUUGGGUUUAAAGGGUGCGUAGGCGGUCUUAUAAGUCAGUGCUGAAAUAUCCCGGCUUAACCGGGAGGGUGGCAUUGAUACUGCAGGACUUGAGUAGAGUUGAGGUUGGCGGAAUUGACGGUGUAGCGGUGAAAUGCGUAGAUAUCUGGAGGAACACCAGUGGCGAAAGCGCGUGACUGGGCCACAACUGACGCUGAGGAACGAAAGCCAGGGGAGCGAAAGGG